GUUCGAUUUGGGCUGAAUUUUUAUGUGUCAACAGCAAGCUUGGAUGUGCUGUCCCCAGUAGUUUUGAAAAGUGCGGACGUGUAGCCUGAAGGAAAAGAUUGAAUAUACUUCCCUUUCCCUCGCAAGUGCCUCAUCUCACUACUUGUUGCCUUGUCGGCAAAAGACUGAAAUGGAAUAUUGUUGCGUUGUCUACAAAUUAGUUAAUUAUUGUUGUACUUUUUGAAUUGUUGCCUUGUCGAUUUAAUGAACUGCUGCUAUUGUUAUUGGCUUUGAAUUUUAGCCCAAGCGCCCAAAAUUCCUGGAUCCAUCCCUGCUUGUGCACUUAUUGAGAAGCCAUCUUUCUUGAGCGAAAACUGAGAUCCUAUCUCAAGAAAAUAUGUAUUUAUUUUUUUUUUGAGCCACAAAUUGCAACUACCCACCACCUUGCAUUCCCCCCUUCGUCUUGCAAUCUUGCAUAUGAAGACAUCUUUUGAAAGAUCAUCAAUUUUCGAGGUAAAAUUCAAUGACGGUACAAGAAAUUGAAGGACGAAGCAAAA
Olea europaea var. sylvestris is the source of this 536-nucleotide long non-coding RNA. RefSeq lists it as uncharacterized. The transcript is spliced from 3 exons. Lineage: Eukaryota; Viridiplantae; Streptophyta; Magnoliopsida; Lamiales; Oleaceae. The record is from RefSeq and is a predicted model, not a curated record.